This 468-nucleotide ribosomal RNA is filed under the name uncultured bacterium. RNAcentral's name for it is "partial 16S ribosomal RNA". It matches the Rfam family "Bacterial small subunit ribosomal RNA", at positions 28 to 507 of the family's 1533-position model. The record is from RNAcentral.
GACGAACGCUGGCGGCGUGCUUAACACAUGCAAGUCGAACGGAAAGGCCCUGCUUUUGUGGGGUGCUCGAGUGGCGAACGGGUGAGUAACACGUGAGUAACCUGCCCUUGACUUUGGGAUAACUUCAGGAAACUGGGGCUAAUACCGGAUAGGAGCUCCUGCUGCAUGGUGGGGGUUGGAAAGUUUCGGCGGUUGGGGAUGGACUCGCGGCUUAUCAGCUUGUUGGUGGGGUAGUGGCUUACCAAGGCUUUGACGGGUAGCCGGCCUGAGAGGGUGACCGGGGACAGUGGGAGUGAGAUACGGCCCAGCCUGGUGCGGGAGGGAGCGGUGGGGACUGGUGGGCAAUGGGGGGAAGCGUGAUGCAGCAACGCCGCGUGCGGGAUGACGGGCUUCGGGUUGUAAACCGCAUUCGCCGGUGACGAGGCGUGAGUGACGGGAAUGGGUAAAGAAGCACAGGGUAAAUAAGUG